This 253-nucleotide ribosomal RNA is filed under the name uncultured bacterium. RNAcentral's name for it is "partial 16S ribosomal RNA". It matches the Rfam family "Bacterial small subunit ribosomal RNA", at positions 524 to 776 of the family's 1533-position model. The record is from RNAcentral.
UACGAAGGGGGCUAGCGUUGUUCGGAAUCACUGGGCGUAAAGGGCGCGUAGGCGGCCGAUCAAGUCGGGGGUGAAAGCCUGUGGCUCAACCACAGAAUUGCCUUCGAUACUGUUUGGCUUGAGACCGGAAGAGGUUAGUGGAACUGCGAGUGUAGAGGUGAAAUUCGUAGAUAUUCGCAAGAACACCAGUGGCGAAGGCGGCUGACUGGUCCGGUUCUGACGCUGAGGCGCGAAGGCGUGGGGAGCAAACAGG